This 463-nucleotide ribosomal RNA is filed under the name uncultured bacterium. RNAcentral describes it as "bacterial SSU rRNA". It matches the Rfam family "Bacterial small subunit ribosomal RNA", at positions 29 to 530 of the family's 1533-position model. The record is from RNAcentral.
AACGAACGCUGGCGGCAUGCCUAACACAUGCAAGUCGAACGAGACCUUCGGGUCUAGUGGCGCACGGGUGCGUAACGCGUGGGAACCUGCCUUUAGGUUCGGGAAUAACUCAGAGAAAUUUGAGCUAAUACCGGAUAAUGUCUUCGGACCAAAGAUUUAUCGCCUUUAGAUGGGCCCGCGUUGGAUUAGCUAGUUGGUGGGGUAAAGGCCUACCAAGGCGACGAUCCAUAGCUGGUCUGAGAGGAUGAUCAGCCACACUGGGACUGAGACACGGCCCAGACUCCCUACGGGAGGCAGCAGUGGGGAAUAUUGGGACAAUGGGCGAAAGCCUGAUCCAGCAAUGCCGCGUGAGUGAUGAAGGCCUUAGGGUUGUAAAGACUCUUUUACCCGUAGAUGAUAAUGACAGUAUCGGGAGAAUAAGCUCCGGCUAACUCCGUGCCAGCAGCCGCGGUAAGUGACUACU